Long non-coding RNA from Columba livia (rock pigeon), 1542 nucleotides. RefSeq lists it as uncharacterized. The transcript is spliced from 3 exons. The record is from RefSeq and is a predicted model, not a curated record. Lineage: Eukaryota; Metazoa; Chordata; Aves; Columbiformes; Columbidae.
CUCAGGCACGCAGGAACACAGGCAGCCAAGCAAGGCGAGGUGCCAGAUCACCAUCUAUGUGCUUGCUGACUGCUGCCGAGACUGCAACUCUAAAUGGUGAGCUUUGGCUCUGGAGCCCUUCCCAGACAGAGGAAAGCAUGCCGAUAGCAACACACGAAGAGGAGACCACAUGCACCAGCAAAUCCUCCUGCUCGUCUGGACGAAAAACAAUGACAACUGCCAAAACCUGGAAACAGGAACAAAAGCAUAUUUCUGCAUUUGUGAGGAAGUUGUAUCUGGCAGUGAGAACAUAAGGAGCAGGUCUGCUGGGGGAUAUCGACUGACUCACUGUCUGCGAUGUGGCAAGGUACAUAAAUCCCUGCUUUGGGAUCCUGCAGUGCACAAGUCACCAGAUGGUGCUGUACAUACAGACUUGAAAGUUCUUUAUCUUGACAUGGGAACAGCGUGAUUCACCUACUUGAUACCAGUUUGGUUUGAUGCUGCUUCUGAAUAUUGAGCCACAGCUGGUCUGCCACAAUUAUAUAGAGUCCUUAUUUCAGACUGUGACUCAACAAACUGCUACUGUCAUGAACAGUGCUCCUGAUUCCUUCUACAAUGCUUUUGUGGCAACAAAAUGCACCUUACUUCCAACAUUUGAUCAUUACCUGAAAAUUCACAGUGUAUAAGCCCAUCAAAAAAUUAAGAAAUGCACGGAGUGACUCCUAUGAGAUCAUUUACUACCAGCGAAGGGCAAUUAAUGGAUUGCAAGCCAUGACUGGCUUUCCUGGGAGCUACAAAAUCGGGAGUAGGAAUCAAAGAGGUAAGAGAUCUGCUGAAUUUCACUAUCACUGCACUCCCUACUUGACACUGACAGUCCCAGUUCCUACCUCUGUUCACUGGGUUUGCAAUACUCUGACAAAGGGAUCCUCUCAUUUACCAACUGUAAUUCCAAAUGAGGAAUGAAAAGAUUGAUUAGGCAAAAGUCUGUCAGGUAAUCAGUCAUUUUUACUAUGCAUACUUCAAUGUUUAUGGACUUUUCCAGGCUAUUAUACGCUUCCAAGUAUCAAAGAAACUUACGAUUACGAUCAGGAGUUGGACUUGAUGACCCUGGUGGGUUCCUUCCAGCUCCGGACGUUCUAUGGUUCUAUGAUUACCUCCUCAGGAGCUGAUGAAAAGCAUAAGAUUCUUCUUUACUACCUAAUUCAUUCAAAUGGAGUUACCUCAUUACUAUUAUUAAUACAUUUACUGCAUUGUUUGUCCCAAACACAGGAAUACAGUUUUACUUUCCUAAUGCAUGCCUGCAAAUGGGAAUUAUCACUGCUGUGGAACUGGCUACAGGUCUGUCUAGAUCAGUAAUUAAUAACAGUCUAGACCAAAUUGCGUCAAUGCAAAGUGUGCUGUACCCACAGAAAUAAACUCCCAGCAUUUAGGUUAAAAAAAUGGAGAGUUGAAUCAGGCAUCAAUAAACUGAAGGGCAAACUACGUCAUAAUUGUAUCUGCUUGCACAUUUGUCUCUGCACUUCCAAGCAUGUAAAACAUCUUCUCAAGCCACUUACCUUAACC